This 1350-nucleotide ribosomal RNA is filed under the name uncultured bacterium. RNAcentral's name for it is "bacterial SSU rRNA". It matches the Rfam family "Bacterial small subunit ribosomal RNA", at positions 28 to 1381 of the family's 1533-position model. The record is from RNAcentral.
AUUGAACGCUGGCGGCAUGCUUUACACAUGCAAGUCGAACGGCAGCGCGGGGCAACCUGGCGGCGAGUGGCGAACGGGUGAGUAAUAUAUCGGAACGUACCCAAGAGUGGGGGAUAACGUAGCGAAAGUUACGCUAAUACCGCAUACGAUCUAAGGAUGAAAGUGGGGGAUCGCAAGACCUCAUGCUCCUGGAGCGGCCGAUAUCUGAUUAGCUAGUUGGUGAGGUAAAGGCUCACCAAGGCGACGAUCAGUAGCUGGUCUGAGAGGACGACCAGCCACACUGGAACUGAGACACGGUCCAGACUCCUACGGGAGGCAGCAGUGGGGAAUUUUGGACAAUGGGCGCAAGCCUGAUCCAGCAAUGCCGCGUGAGUGAAGAAGGCCUUCGGGUUGUAAAGCUCUUUUGUCAGGGAAGAAACGGUAGAGGCUAAUAUCCUUUGCUAAUGACGGUACCUGAAGAAUAAGCACCGGCUAACUACGUGCCAGCAGCCGCGGUAAUACGUAGGGUGCAAGCGUUAAUCGGAAUUACUGGGCGUAAAGCGUGCGCAGGCGGUUUUGUAAGUCUGUCGUGAAAGCCCCGGGCUCAACCUGGGAAUUGCGAUGGAGACUGCAAGGCUUGAAUCUGGCAGAGGGGGGUAGAAUUCCACGUGUAGCAGUGAAAUGCGUAGAGAUGUGGAGGAACACCGAUGGCGAAGGCAGCCCCCUGGGUCAAGAUUGACGCUCAUGCACGAAAGCGUGGGGAGCAAACAGGAUUAGAUACCCUGGUAGUCCACGCCCUAAACGAUGUCUACUAGUUGUCGGGUUUUAAUUAACUUGGUAACGCAGCUAACGCGUGAAGUAGACCGCCUGGGGAGUACGGUCGCAAGAUUAAAACUCAAAGGAAUUGACGGGGACCCGCACAAGCGGUGGAUGAUGUGGAUUAAUUCGAUGCAACGCGAAAAACCUUACCUACCCUUGACAUGUCAGGAAGUCCGGAGAGAUCUGGAUGUGCCCGAAAGGGAACCUGAACACAGGUGCUGCAUGGCUGUCGUCAGCUCGUGUCGUGAGAUGUUGGGUUAAGUCCCGCAACGAGCGCAACCCUUGUCAUUAGUUGCUACGCAAGAGCACUCUAAUGAGACUGCCGGUGACAAACCGGAGGAAGGUGGGGAUGACGUCAAGUCCUCAUGGCCCUUAUGGGUAGGGCUUCACACGUCAUACAAUGGUACAUGCAGAGGGCCGCCAACCCGCGAGGGGGAGCUAAUCCCAGAAAGUGUAUCGUAGUCCGGAUCGCAGUCUGCAACUCGACUGCGUGAAGUUGGAAUCGCUAGUAAUCGCGGAUCAGCAUGUCGCGGUGAAUACGUUCCCGGGUCU